AGGAACAAAGGGCUCAUUGUCAUGCAAAUGAACGACUCCGGAGGAAGAGGGCAGUUCCUCCACUCUGGGGUGCCCCUCCUGCCCUCUAACUUCUAAGCCACACUGGAAACUGACCCCCAACCUUCAGAAGUGUGGGCAUCUCUGGGCCUCUGCUCUGGGCUAAAUGAGGCGCACUCUCUCAGCCUGGGAAACGGGCCCCUGCCAGUUCUGAGCCAGAUCCCCAGAAAACAGGACCCGCCUCGGAAGAUAGGGAUAGUAGAGGGACUUUUGGGGAUGAAACAGGAUGAUCCCCUUAACAUGCUAAGCAUGACCUUGAGCAAAGAAGCAACUGCCUUGGAAAUGCCAUUCAGUUGGUAAUACUGCAGGCCUGCAGCUGUGUGUCUUUGAGCAAGCUGCCUACCCUCUCUGUGCCUUAUCAGGAGAGGGUGACUCUGUGCCGACUUUACAAGGCUAUGGGAAGGACACAAUGAACUAAGACUCCAGUGAUCACAACCAGUCCAUGCUGAGCUGCCUCGUCACAAAGGCCCUGGUGCUGACUUCUGUUCUGAACCUCACCCAGGACUCUUCUCCACCGGGUUUCUACAAAACAUGAGAGCUCUCUGCAAAGAAGAAAAGAAAAAUGGACGGAACUCGAACUUAAAUCCAACCUUGUGGUUACAAUUACGGAGGCCCACCCAGGCCAGCACUGUGCGGGCCCCUUCAGGCUUCUCUCAGGCUCUCCCGAGACACACCGGCAGGCUGCAGUGCUACCACUGUGGUAAAGGACAAGGAAACUGAGGCUCUGUGGGAUUCCGGGACUUGCCCAAGGUCACACCAUCCUUGAGGGGUCGAGCCAGGACUGGAACCUCAGUCCGGCCACUACAACUUCAUAAAUACCAUCGCCCUGAGAUGCUGAAAUCCCAGGGGCCCCC
Molecule: long non-coding RNA, 911 nt
Organism: Homo sapiens (human)
Lineage: Eukaryota; Metazoa; Chordata; Mammalia; Primates; Hominidae
Source: Ensembl